Molecule: ribosomal RNA, 468 nt
Filed under: uncultured bacterium
Lineage: Bacteria
Description: partial 16S ribosomal RNA
Rfam family: Bacterial small subunit ribosomal RNA
Source: RNAcentral
GACGAACGCUGGCGGCGUGCUUAACACAUGCAAGUCGAACGGAAAGGCCCUGCUUUUGUGGGGUGCUCGAGUGGCGAACGGGUGAGUAACACGUGAGUAACCUGCCCUUGACUUUGGGAUAACUUCAGGAGAAUGGGGCUAAUACCGGAUAGGAGCUCCUGCUGCAUGGGGGGGGUUGGAAAGUUUCGGCGGUUGGGGAUGGACUCGCGGCUUAUCCGCUUGUUGGGGGGGUAGUGGCUUACAAAGGCUUUGACGGGUAGCCGGCCUGAGAGGGUGACCGGGCACAUGGGGACUGAGAGACGGACCAGAAUCGUACGGGAGGCAGCAGUGGGGAAUAUGGCACAAUGGGCGGGCGCCUGAUGCAGCAACGCCGCGUGCGGGAUGACGGCCUUCGGGUUGUAAACAGAUGUCGCAGGUGACGAAGCGUGAGUGACGGUAAUUGGUAAAGAAGCACCGGCUAACUACGUG